GAAACAGAUCAACCAAAGUCAUUCAUUCUGCAAAUUCAAAUCAUUAAUGGAGAGAGUAUUUACAAAAGUAAUUUAACAAACAAGAUCAAGCACAUAAACCAGAGGAUCAACUGAUACGAACAAAUCAAAAUAGAGAUAGAGGUUGUAGACAUGCACCUCAACUUGAAUCCUUAAUUAAAAAACAAUAGCAGUGGUAAUACUAGGACAAAGCAAAGCAGCAGUUAUGACUGGAAUUCGACACAAUGAUCAAAUUACCAAUAGAAAACGCGAACCGAACCAUGCACAGACCUCGACAACAUCUGAAGCUCCGAACUCAAUGGCCUCUCAAUCAAUCUCCAUGAAUGAAAAAUCAAAGCAUAAAUUGAUUUCUUUUAUGAUUCGGCUGUUGAUCAUUCUCUUUAGGGAUAGCUGCAUACGUGGUCAAGAAAGGUUGGAAGAGUGAGAGCGAGGUGAGAGUGUCUUAUUGGUGCAACGACUGUAGGCAGAGAUGGGGAGAAGUUCGAAGAUGGCGUAGUGGUCGUCGGUUUCCAGUGAUAGUGUUGGUGGGGUGAAGAUGGAAAGGAGUUUGGGUGGCUGCAACAUGGUGAAAGGAGAUGGAGAAGGUUAUGGCGGCAGUGAUGUCUGGCGGCUAGUUGAUGGCGUGGUUAAGGUUAU
Molecule: long non-coding RNA, 654 nt
Filed under: Nicotiana benthamiana
Lineage: Eukaryota; Viridiplantae; Streptophyta; Magnoliopsida; Solanales; Solanaceae
Description: long non-coding RNA (NBEN_LNC009555)
Source: RNAcentral